CAGAUUGAACGCUAGCGGCAGGCCUAACACAUGCAAGUCGAGCGAGAAAGCACUUCGGUGUGAGUAGAGCGGCGGACGGGUGAGUAACGCGUAGGAAUUUGCCCAGUAGUGGGGGACAACAUGUGGAAACGCAUGCUAAUACCGCAUACGCCCUAUGGGGGAAAGCAGGGGAUCUUCGGACCUUGCGCUAUUGGAGAAGCCUGCGUCGGAUUAGCUAGUUCCUUUACCCCACCAAGGCGACGAUCCGUAGCUGGUCUGAGAGGAUGAUCAGCCACACUGGGACUGAGACACGGCCCAGACUCCUACGGGAGGCAGCAGUGGGGAAUAUUGGACAAUGGGGGCAACCCUGAUCCAGCCAUGCCGCGUGUGUGAAGAAGGCCUUAGGGUUGUAAAGCACUUUCAGUAGGGAGGAAAAGUUAGUCGUUAAUAACGGCUAACCCUGACGUUACCUACAGAAGAAGCACCGGCAAACUCCGUGCCAGCAGCCGCGGUAAUACGGAGGGUGCGAGCGUUAAUCGGAAUUACUGGGCGUAAAGCGCACGUAGGCGGCUUUUUAAGCUAGAUGUGAAAGCCCUGGGCUCAACCUAGGAACUGCAUUCAAAACUGCUGGACUAGAGUACGAUAGAGGGGGGUAGAAUUUCAGGUGUAGCGGUGAAAUGCGUAGAGAUCUGAAGGAAUACCGGUGGCGAAGGCGGCCACCUGGACUAAUACUGACGCUGAGGUGCGAAAGCGUGGGGAGCAAACAGGAUUAGAUACCCUGGUAGUCCACGCCGUAAACGAUGUCAACUAGCCGUUGGGAGACUUGAUCUCUUAGUGGCGCAGCUAACGCACUAAGUUGACCGCCUGGGGAGUACGGCCGCAAGGUUAAAACUCAAAUGAAUUGACGGGGGCCCGCACAAGCGGUGGAGCAUGUGGUUUAAUUCGAUGCAACGCGAAGAACCUUACCAGGUCUUGACAUCCUGUGAACUUUCUAGAGAUAGAUUGGUGCCUUCGGGAACUGAGAGACAGGUGCUGCAUGGCUGUCGUCAGCUCGUGUUGUGAGAUGUUGGGUUAAGUCCCUAAACGAGCGCAACCCUUAUCCUUAGUUACCAGCGAGUUAAGUCGGGCACUCUAAGGAGACUGCCGGUGAUAAACCGGAGGAAGGUGAGGACGACGUCAAGUCAUCAUGGCCCUUAUGGGUAGGGCUACACACGUGUUACAAUGGGUGGUACAGAGGGUUGCCAAGCCGCGAGGUGGAGCUAAUCCAAGAAAGCCGAUCUUAGUCCGGAUUGCAGUCUGCAACUCGGCUGCAUGAAGUCGGAAUCGCUAGUAAUCGCGAAUCAGAACGUCGCGGUGAAUACGUUCCCGGGCCUUGUACACACCGCCCGUCACACCACGGGAGUGGGUUGCAAAAGAAGUGGGUAGACUAACCUUCGGGAGGUCGCUCACCACUUUGUGAUUCAUGACUGGGGUGG
RNAcentral lists this ribosomal RNA (1454 nucleotides) under uncultured prokaryote. RNAcentral describes it as "partial 16S ribosomal RNA". It matches the Rfam family "Bacterial small subunit ribosomal RNA". The record is from RNAcentral.